RNAcentral lists this ribosomal RNA (468 nucleotides) under uncultured bacterium. RNAcentral's name for it is "partial 16S ribosomal RNA". It matches the Rfam family "Bacterial small subunit ribosomal RNA", at positions 28 to 507 of the family's 1533-position model. The record is from RNAcentral.
GACGAACGCUGGCGGCGUGCUUAACACAUGCAAGUCGAACGGAAAGGCCCUGCUUUUGUGGGGUGCUCGAGUGGCGAACGGGUGAGUAACACGUGAGUAACCUGCCCUUGACUUUGGGAUAACUUCAGGAAACUGGGGCUAAUACCGGAUAGGAGCUCCUGCUGCAUGGUGGGGGUUGGAAAGUUUCGGCGGUUGGGGAUGGACUCGCGGCUUAUCAGCUUGUUGGUGGGGUAGUGUCUUACCAAGGCUUUGACGGGUAGCCGGCCUGAGAGGGUGACCGGCAAAAUUGGGACUGAGAGACGGCCAAGACGCCAACGGGAGGCAGCAGUGGGGAAUAGUGCACAAUGGGGGGAAGCCUGAUGCAGCAACGCCGCGUGCGGGAUGACGGCCUUCGGGUUGUAAACCGCUUUCGCCUGUGACGAAGCGUGAGUGACGGUAAUGGGUAAAGAAGCACCGGCUAACUACGUG